AGCAAACAGCUCAGUCGGUAGACGCAUGGGACUCUUGGCCUCAAGGUCCUGGGUUCGAGCCCCACGUGGCGCAA
Molecule: non-coding RNA, 74 nt
Organism: Podarcis lilfordi (Lilford's wall lizard)
Lineage: Eukaryota; Metazoa; Chordata; Lepidosauria; Squamata; Lacertidae
Source: the annotation of a GenBank genome assembly